UGGCCGGAGAGGCAGCAGCACCCCGAGCUGUCAGGCGUUCCGCCGCGGCCGCGAGGCCCGCCGGCCGGCGGGGAGCUACGCCCGGACGGCCAGCAGGCCCGCGGGAGUGGGGCCGCGCUCGGACCCGGUGACUUAAGAGAUUAAAAUUAAUUUGGUUGCUGUUGGUUCUGAACAAAUAAUGAGUUCUUUUAUUUGAGGUAUGCCAUUUUGAAGACUGAGACGUUGGAGUUUUAUCCUAGAGGAUAAAGGAAAUCUUUGGGAAAGUCAGUAUUUUAUAUAGCAAAAAUAUGAACCUCAAACUGAAUCCUCUAAAGGCCCCAUACAAUGAAGUAGACAUUGGUGGAAACAUUUACACCCAGUCAGCUUGAAGAGUUUCAAAUGGACCCUACCACUGAGAAAUCAAGAUGGCAGUCUACUAUGGGGAAUUGAGGAAAAAUGGAUUAAUACAAGAGUCCUGUGAUAAUAUACAACCAAGACAGGGUUCUUUUAACAUGGAUUCCAUGCAGUGAAUGAAGACAUAGGUUUCUUACCCAACACAAAUGGACAGUGGAUUUGACUUUCUAAAGACUUUUUUUGUGGACAUUUUGACAUUUGGAGAAGAAAGAUGGCACACUAACCCAGAUAAUAGUUUUUAUGCCUGGAAUUUUUUGCAGUUUGAUUUGUAUGCGUAUGACCUCUUGAAAUGUUAAUUUUUAAUAAAAUUUGUAACACUUAAAA
RNAcentral lists this long non-coding RNA (717 nucleotides) under Homo sapiens (human). RNAcentral's name for it is "HSALNT0383154". The record is from RNAcentral. Lineage: Eukaryota; Metazoa; Chordata; Mammalia; Primates; Hominidae.